CAGCCGCCGCGGUAAAACCAGCACCUCAAGUGGUCAGGAUGAUUAUUGGGCCUAAAGCAUCCGUAGCCGGCUCUGUAAGUUUUCGGUUAAACCUGUAUGCUCAACAUACAGGCUGCCGGGAAUACUGCAGAGCUAGGGAGUGGGAGAGGUAGACGGUACUCGGUAGGAAGGGGUAAAAUCCUUUGAUCUAUUGAUGACCACCUAUGGCGAAGGCGGUCUACCAGAACACGUCCGACGGUGAGGGAUGAAAGCUGGGGGAGCAAACCGGAUUAGAUACCCGGGUAGUCCCAGCCGUAAACGAUGCAUACUAGGUGAUGGCACGGCCAUGAGCCGUGUCAGUGCCGUAGGGAAACCGUUAAGUGUGCCGCCUGGGAAGUACGGUCGCAAGGCUAUAACUUAAAGGAAUUGGCGGGGGAGCAC
This 420-nucleotide ribosomal RNA is filed under the name uncultured Nitrososphaerota archaeon. Its description in RNAcentral is "bacterial SSU rRNA". It matches the Rfam family "Archaeal small subunit ribosomal RNA", at positions 459 to 879 of the family's 1478-position model. The record is from RNAcentral. Lineage: Archaea; Thermoproteati; Nitrososphaerota.